CGGUUUGGUAAAUCUCUUGUGAAAUCGACAGGCUUAACCUGUCGGCGCGCUUGAGACACUACCAGACUCGAGACCGGGAGGAGUCAGAGGUAUUCCAGAGGGAGCGGUAAAAUGUGAUAAUCUCUGGAGGAUCACCUAUGGCGAAGGCAUCUGACCAGAACGGAUCUGACGGUGAGGGACGAAGGCUAGGGGAGCGAUCCGGAUUAGAUACCCGAGUAGUCCUAGCAGUAAACGCUGCGAGCAAGAUGUUGCGCAUCUCACGAGGAUGUGCAGUGUCGAAACGAAGGUGUUAAGCUCGCCGCCUGGGAA
RNAcentral lists this ribosomal RNA (309 nucleotides) under uncultured archaeon. Its description in RNAcentral is "bacterial SSU rRNA". It matches the Rfam family "Archaeal small subunit ribosomal RNA", at positions 526 to 834 of the family's 1478-position model. The record is from RNAcentral.